CUCAGCUUCCACGCUUCCAGAGAAGGAGCAAGAUUGGUCCCAGAUUUCCGCGUCCAAAUGUGUCUCUCUUAAGAAACUUAUCUUCUUCUGAGGUGAACCGUAGGAAUAGUAUCUAAAGCGAGAAGAGGAAGAAACAAUGUCCUCAAGAAACAGAGAGGAGCGGCCAGAACUAUAACCAAAAUAGCCACUCAAACCCAAGGCCACAAACAGCGGCAACCAGAGAGGAGAUUGCCGAGCCGAUGGAGCGGGCAAGAAUAAGAUUUGCCCCACAUGAAGCAUUGCAAAGUACUACUACAAAGAUCGAGUCACGCGGUGUUGCUGAUGCCGACGAUGCGAAUGGCGAUGGAGGUUUGCGGCUGCAUAUAUAGUGGGUUGUUCUUAUGGACGGAUGUGAGUUAUGUGGGCAAAGAGCACGAGGGCUUCAAGCUUCCCGGAGGCUUCCUUCUCCGGCGCUGCCUCCCACAGCUGGUUCCAGGCGGUGGAAGAACACGCGGGGUCUAUUUCUCUCUCUCUCCUCUCUGAUUUCCUGUUGCUCUGGUUUAUACAUGCGGAGUCGAUGAGGUGUCUGGGCAAAAAGGAGUAACAAAUCUGCUUCAAAAGGAAUGCACAGCUUUUCUCUUCCGGGGAAUAAAUAUCACGAAUGGUAACUUUAUGUUAAAAUAUGGAACCAUAUACUCAGAUUUUUAUUUUUAUUUGUCUUCAUGUAACAAUCAGUUUUAUAGCUGCCGAUACCAAAUGUAUCUCGGCUAAGUCCUUAA
Lolium perenne is the source of this 758-nucleotide long non-coding RNA. RefSeq lists it as uncharacterized. The record is from RefSeq and is a predicted model, not a curated record. NCBI's taxonomy places the organism in Eukaryota, Viridiplantae, Streptophyta, Magnoliopsida, Poales, Poaceae.